RNAcentral lists this non-coding RNA (132 nucleotides) under human gut metagenome. RNAcentral describes it as "Glycine riboswitch". It matches the Rfam family "Glycine riboswitch aptamer", at positions 9 to 86 of the family's 94-position model. Rfam says of the family: This family represents the bacterial glycine riboswitch. Glycine riboswitches usually consist of two metabolite-binding aptamers domains with similar structures in tandem. The aptamers cooperatively bind glycine to regulate the expression of downstream genes. The record is from RNAcentral.
UCUCUGGAGAAUCCCGCAGAGCGGGUGCCGAAGGGGCAAGGAAAGUCAGCGUUUUGCGGUACGCACACAACGCAAUGUGAUACAGCGCAACGCACCGACUUUACCGAAACUCUCAGGCAAAAGGACAGAGUU